GAGUUUGAUCCUGGCUCAGAUUUAACGCUAGCGAUAUGCAUUACACAUGCAAGUUGUACGAUAAUUUAUUAUAGUAGCAAACGGGUGAGUAAUAUAUCUAAACAUACCUUAAAGUUUGAUAUACUUUUGUGAAAACAUUAUUAAUAUCAAAUAGAUUAUUUUUAUAAAGAAAUAAGAAAGUUUUUAUUAAUAAAAAUUAUAUAAACGCUUUUAGAUUGGUAGAUAUCAGAUUAGUUUGUAGGUGAGAUAAAAGCUCUACCUAGACUAUGAUCUGUAGUUGUUCUGAGAGGAAGAUCAACCACAUCGGGACUGAGACAAGGCCCGAACCUCUAAGGAGGGCAGCAGUGGGGAAUUUUGGACAAUGAGCGAAAGCUUGAUCCAGCAAUAUCGCGUGUAUGAAGAAGGUCGAAAGAUUGUAAAAUACUUUUUUUAGAGAAUAAAAUUUCAAAAAUAAAAAAUUUGAAAAUGAAAAUUCUAAAGAAUAAGUACCGGCUAAUUACGUGCCAGCAGCCGCGGUAAUACGUAAGGUGCGAGCGUUAAUCGGAAUUAUUGGGCGUAAAGAGUAUGUAGGUUGUUUAUUAUGAUAAUUAUAAAAUCACAAGUCAUAAAUUUGUAAAGUAAUUAUUACUAAUAUUCUAGAAUAUAGUAUAGAGGAAAGCGGAAUUUUGCAAGUAGUAGUGAAAUGCGUAGAUAUGCAAAGGAACACCAAUGGCGAAGGCAGCUUUCUGGGUUUAUAUUGACACUGAGAUACGAAAGCGUGGGGAGCAAACAGGAUUAGAUACCCUGGUAGUCCACGCCCUAAACGAUGUCAAUUAAUUAUUAGAUUUUUAUUUGAUAAUAAAGCUAACGCGUUAAAUUGACCGCCUGGGUACUACGAUCGCAAGAUUAAAACUCAAAGGAAUUGACGGGGACCUGCACAAGCGGUGGAUGAUGUGGAUUAAUUCGAUGUAACACGAAAAACCUUACCUACUCUUGACAUGUAUAGAAUCUUUAAAAUAGAGUGCCUUAUAGGAACUAUAACACAGGUGUUGCAUGGCUGUCGUCAGCUCGUGUCGUGAGAUGUUAGAUUAAUUUCUAAAACGAGCGCAACCCUUACUUUUUAUAUUCUAAUUUUAGAAAAAUAAAAGAACUGCCAAAAUUGGAGGAAGGAAAGGACGACGUCAAGUCAUCAUGGCCCUUAUGAGUAGGGCUUCACACGUCAUACAAUGGUUAAUACAAAAAGCAAAACUUAAAAUUAAUCUCAGUUCGGAUUGAAAUCUGCAACUCGGUUUCAUAAAGUAGGAAUCGCUAGUAAUCGCAAAUCAGCAUGUUGCGGUGAAUACGUUCUCAGGUCUUGUACACACCGCCCGUCACACCAUGGAAAUAUUUUUUAUUGGAAAAAGAAGAAUUACUUUAUUAGGAUUUUUUCUUUUAUAGUAAAGAAUAUAACUGGGGUGAAGUCGUAACAAGGUAGCUGUAUCGGAAGGUGCGGCUGGAU
This 1477-nucleotide ribosomal RNA is filed under the name Candidatus Vidania fulgoroideorum. RNAcentral's name for it is "bacterial SSU rRNA". It matches the Rfam family "Bacterial small subunit ribosomal RNA". Lineage: Bacteria; Pseudomonadati; Pseudomonadota; Betaproteobacteria. The record is from RNAcentral.